UGGGUAACCUGCCUCAGACUCUGGGAUAACUCCGGGGAAACCGGGGCUAAUACCGGAUACUCCGAUCGGAUCACAUGGUCUGAUCGGGAAAGCUCCGACGGUCUGGGAUGGGCCCGCGGCCUAUCAGCUUGUUGGCGAGGUAACGGCUCACCAAGGCGACGACGGGUAGCUGGUCUGAGAGGACGACCAGCCACACUGGAACUGAGAUACGGUCCAGACCUCCGUACGGGA
Molecule: ribosomal RNA, 231 nt
Filed under: uncultured bacterium
Lineage: Bacteria
Description: partial 16S ribosomal RNA
Rfam family: Bacterial small subunit ribosomal RNA
Source: RNAcentral